UAUAUAGGCCGUGGCUACUAUACUAUUAUGAGUAUUGGAGCCCUCGUACUCAUAAGUUGUUUUCGAUGAUGGAGCUUCCGAAUCGACGAUCCACUCUGUUAAAUAUGAUCUAGAGUAUUUGAAACUUCUAAAAAAUAAAUUUCGUAAAGUUUCGAAAUCAUAAUAAAGUCCAUCAAGUAGGUAUAAAAUGAACGGUCAAAAUCGAACGACGUCCUAAAAAAGGAUGAUCGGAUCCUUCAAUUCAAGAUCGGAGUUAUUGAUCUUUAUUUAGGUAGUGAAUAGAAUUUUCUAUCAAAAAUUCAACAAAUUCCGAUUCUUUUACACCGUUAAACUAGCAAGUAUCCCAUACCGGCCAUUAAAAAUUGUCAAAUUUGUGAGCUCUUGAUCGUAAGGUAAAUGAUGUCGAAAAAUUAUAAAAUUUGAUUUCUAGAAGUUUUAAAUGAUGUAAAUAACGUUUAACGGUAUGGAUCGUCGAUUCGGAAGUUCUAUCAUCGAAAACGAUUUAUGAGUACGAGAGCAAUCGUACUCAUAAUAUAUAUAUAUAUAUAUAUAUAUAUAUAUAUAGAGAGAGAGAGAGAGAGAGAGAGAGAGAGAGAGAGAGAGAGAGAGAGAGAGAGAGAGGAGCGCCGCUGUGCUCUCCGUGCUCCUGAGCCGUUUUCGAUGAUAGAAUUUUCGAAUCAACGAUCGGCUCCGUUAGACUUGAUCUACCGCAUUUGAAGUUUUUAGAAAAUAAUUUUUGCAAUUUUUUGAUAUCAUUUACCUAGCAAUCAAAAGGAUUCAAAAUCAAUAAUUUUUAACGGCUGAAAAUAAAAAUUUUAUAAAACGUGGUAAUAUAGCGCUAAAAUUUUUAAUCAGAAAUAUUGAUCUUAUUGUAGAUAGUAUAAAGAAUUUUGUAUCAAAAUUUCAUCUGAUUUGAAUACUUCUACACCGUUAAACUUGAAAACGACAAAUAUCAAUCAGUAAAAAUUAUUGAUUUUGAACCCUUUCGAUCACUACGUAAAUGAUAUCAAAAAAUCGCAAAAUUUAUUUUCUAGAAACUUCAAAUAUGCUAAAUCAAUUCUAACGGAGCCGAUCGUCGAUUCGAAAAUUUCAUCAUCGAAAACGGCUUAGGAGCACGGAGGCCUCCGUGCUUCUGAGAGCACAGCAGUCCUACUCUCUCUCUCUCUCUCUCUCUCUCUCUCUCUCUCUCUCUCUCUCUCUCUCUCUCUAUAUAUAUAUAUAUAUAUAUAUAUAUAUGCAAGAUGUUGUGAUAUGGUGGACCACUGCUUAUUAAGUCCCCUAAUAACUAGGAUUUUCAACGCCCCACCGAGUAGGAGCGAAACUCUCUAGCGUGAAGGUCAUUGUCGAAUUAAUAUUUUUCAAUAUAUUUUUUAAAUUUAAUUUUAUGAAAUUAAUUUUUAAAUUCAGGAAACAGUAGUAGUUUAUUUGAUAUGAACACAUUGUAAGAAAAGGAAUAUAUAUGUGUUAUUAUGCUUUUAUUUCUUAUAAAGAAUCUUUUUUUUCAUGAAAAAUAUCGAAUUCUUUUCUUACGCCUUUAUGCCUUUGUACGUAGUAUAUUAUUUUUUUUCUAAAAAAAGACGAAAGGAGAGGCGUAGAAAAGUCUUUGGAAUAUUCUUCGGCAAAUACAAAUCUAUCUAUCUUUGUUCUUUAACUACAUUAAAAGAGGGUUUGGGGACCUAAGGAUGGCACGUGCCCCCACCCUCUCUCUCUUUCUAUAUAUAUAUAUAUAUAUAUAGAGUUAGGCUGGUAUGCUAUCGGUAGCACGAAGGUCUCUGUGCUAUCAAAUUAUUUUUAAUGAUGUGGCUCUCAAAUCGACGAUCGGUUCCGUUAGACUUGAUCUAUAUUAUCAAAAGUAUUUGGAAAAUAAAUUUCAUAUUUUUUCGAUAUCAUUUGGCUAGUGAUCAAAAGGUCUCAAAAUUAACAAUUUUAACGGUAGAUGUGAUGCAUUUGUGAAUUUAACGGUAUAAAACAAUUCAAAUCUGAUGAAAUUUUUAUAGAAAAUUCUUUUCACUAUUUAGAGUAAGAUCAGUACCUCUGAUCUUAAAUUCAAGUCUUUUAUUAUUAUUUUCUAUGAGAUUUUUAUUUUCAGUCGUUUAUUUUUAGACUACUCGUUUGAUGAGUAAAUGAUGCCGAAAAAUAAUGAAAUUUAAUUUUCAAAUACUUUAAAUAUUUUAGAUCAAGUCUAACGGAGCCGAUUGUCGGUUUGGAAGCCGCAUCAUUGAAAACAACUUGGUAGCACAAAGGUCUCCGUACUACCGAUAGUAUACCAGCCUAGCUCUAUAUAUAAUUGAGCUCCUAUACUUUUAAAAGUCCCAAGUUGUUGGUGCUUGUAGAUUUUUGACCAUUAGAUUAAGGGAUGUACGGUUAGGAUGAUAUAGCCCCCCUAGGGUUGAGUGGGUGAUUGGUUCAAUAGUAUAAUCUAACGGUGAAAAUGAUAAAAUGUGUAGAUUUAACGGUAAAAAAUUUAUAACAUAUUUUUUAAGAAUUCUCUCUCUCACUCUUUCUCUCUCUCUCUCUCUCUCCUCCGUGCGUAAAAUUAUAUUUCGUAUAUAGUAGUGAAUCUAGUAGUGAAUCGAUUAUAACGUAUUUUUUAUGAUAUUAGCUAAAAAUAAAGAAGCAUAUUUCUAUGUAAUUUCGUCUCCCGUCCGUUUUACCUAUUACUGUUAGAUAAAGCUUUACUGCCAGACAAUACAUAUCUCAUAUUUGGCCCCAUAAAUUUUUUUAAAGUAUUUUUAAAUAUGAUUAUAUAUAAUUAGAUAUGUUGAUAGAGGGGCAUUUCAAUUUUUAUUAUGGUUGAUUAUGUAGACAAUAAUAACUAGAUGGAUCUAAAUCACCAAUCCAAAAUAUUUAAGUCUAGUUAUUAUUAAUUUCUAUGGUGGAGGCGUCUUAUGAUCAGAUUAAGAAUGAUAUUUAACUCUAAUAUCAAUUAUAACAAUCCGGCCUGCUAACAAUAAUAACUCGAUGGGCUCAAAUCACCAGUCCAAAAUACUUAAAUUCAGUUAUUAUUACUAUGAUGGAUGUCUCACAUAUUCCAAUUAGAAUCAAUUUUCUAUCAUAUGUGGGACAAUUGGGAUGUUAUUAUUGCUAGUAGACUGGAUCGUUACAAUUGGUAUCAUAGCGAAAUACCGACAGAAAGUGUGAAAAUUAAGUGCUAUGCGGGGCAAAAUGCUAUACUACGGGUUUGUAGAAGCCACCUCUUGAACCGGCAGAGUCACUUAUAGAAUCUUACAUCAUCGGUAUUUUUGGUCUAUAUAUUUGUGAUCCGAUUUGGAUCUGACGAGAACGUAAGUAUCUAAACGGGGAGAGUCUAACACCACAAUAGUCUCAUAUAGGAUGGAAAAAAAAUUCUUAUUUCCAAUAUAUAAGGCCUUACGUCCUAAUAAUAAUAAUUGGGCUUAAAUAUUUUGGAUCUAUUAUUUGGAUCUAAUCUAACGAAUUAUUAUUGUUAUCAGGUUGGAUCCGAGUUAUAAUUGUUAGUAGGUUGGAUCGUUGUACUAACAAAAAUAAAAAAUAUAAUAAUGCCAAGCAAGGCCUUAAGGUUAAAUUAUUUACUUUCGAAUAUCCAUCAGCUUUCUCAUAAGGGCAACUUUGUGUUCAAUAGUUAAAUACUAGUGAAAUAUCCGCGCGAUACUAUAGAUAUAAAAAGAUUUUUAUAAUAAAUUUUAUUUUUUUUAAUAUUUUUAUAUAGUUUUAUAAAUUUAAUUAUUAAUUAAAUAAAAAUUAUAUAAAAAUAAUUUAAUAGUUAAAUCUAUUUAAAUAAAAGUCAUUAAAAUUAAUAUAUGCGCAAAGUAAAUUUAUACAAUAAUUUAUUUUAUAAAAAUUUAUAUGAAAAAAGAUUUGAGAUAAAUCUAUCAAAAUAAUUUAAAAAAAUCAAUAAAUAGAAGAAAAUUAAAAUUGUAGAAGAUAUUGUUUAAUAAAAUUAAUUAUAUAUACACACAUACACUAUAUUUCUAAAAUUUUACUUCUGAAAUUUAAAUUCUGUAUUUUUUUUUUAUACAAUGAA
This 4003-nucleotide long non-coding RNA is filed under the name Ananas comosus (pineapple). Its description in RNAcentral is "long non-coding RNA (ACOM_LNC022986)". The record is from RNAcentral. Lineage: Eukaryota; Viridiplantae; Streptophyta; Magnoliopsida; Poales; Bromeliaceae.